Phlebotomus papatasi is the source of this 97-nucleotide non-coding RNA. The record is from Rfam. Lineage: Eukaryota; Metazoa; Arthropoda; Insecta; Diptera; Psychodidae.
AUACUUACCUGGCGUAGGGGUUACCGUGAUCAUUAAGGCGGUUCCCCCGAGGCGAGGCCCUUCCAUUGCACAUCGGUUGGGUUGACCCUUGCGAUUA